UACGUAGGUGGCAAGCGUUGUCCGGAUUCACUGGGUGUAAAGGGUGCGCAGGCGGAUUGGCAAGUCAGAGGUGAAAUCCCUCGGCUUAACCGGGGAACUGCGUCUGAUACUGGAUGGCUUGAGUUUGGGAGAGGGAUGCGGAAUUCCAGGUGUAGCGGUGAAAUGCGUAGAUAUCUGGAGGAACACCGGUGGCGAAGGCGGCAUCCUGGACCAACACUGACGCUGAGGAGCGAAAGCCAGGGGAGCAAACGGG
This 253-nucleotide ribosomal RNA is filed under the name uncultured bacterium. Its description in RNAcentral is "partial 16S ribosomal RNA". It matches the Rfam family "Bacterial small subunit ribosomal RNA", at positions 524 to 776 of the family's 1533-position model. The record is from RNAcentral.